RNAcentral lists this ribosomal RNA (400 nucleotides) under uncultured bacterium. Its description in RNAcentral is "bacterial SSU rRNA". It matches the Rfam family "Bacterial small subunit ribosomal RNA", at positions 356 to 773 of the family's 1533-position model. The record is from RNAcentral.
GGGGAAUUUUGCGCAAUGGGGGGAACCCUGACGCAGCAACGCCGCGUGCGGGAUGAAGGCCUUCGGGUUGUAAACCGCUUUCAGCAGGGAAGAUAGUGACGGUACCUGCAGAAGAAGCCCCGGCUAACUACGUGCCAGCAGCCGCGGUAAUACGUAGGGGGCGAGCGUUAUCCGGAUUCAUUGGGCGUAAAGCGCGCGUAGGCGGCCCGUCAAGCGGAACCUCUAACCCGAGGGCUCAACCCCCGGUCGGGUUCCGAACUGGCAGGCUCGAGUUUGGUAGAGGAAGAUGGAAUUCCCGGUGUAGCGGUGGAAUGCGCAGAUAUCGGGAAGAACACCGAUGGCGAAGGCAGUCUUCUGGGCCAUCAACUGACGCUGAGGCGCGAAAGCUGGGGGAGCGAAC